RNAcentral lists this long non-coding RNA (232 nucleotides) under Hordeum vulgare. RNAcentral's name for it is "long non-coding RNA (HVUL_LNC003680)". The record is from RNAcentral. Lineage: Eukaryota; Viridiplantae; Streptophyta; Magnoliopsida; Poales; Poaceae.
UGUGUUAUGAUACUGGCAGCAGCGAGACUGAGUCAGAUACUGUGGUGGAGAAGCCCGAAGAAGAAUCAGAUUUUGAUUUGUACGUAUGCUUUUGCUGUUUGUUAAUAUAUUAUAUAUUUGAGCUAUAUUCUUUGUAAUGUGGAAGUCUUAGCUGCAUUAAUGUCGCAAGUGUUGGAAUUGAACCACUCAACUCCCCCCUCUUCUGGAGAUAUGCUUCACCCACUCUCAAACA